GCGGGUGUGGUUCAAUGGCAGAACGUGAGCUUCCCAAGCUUGAAACGCGGGUUCGAUUCCCGCCACCCGUA
RNAcentral lists this transfer RNA (71 nucleotides) under Verrucomicrobiota bacterium. RNAcentral's name for it is "Verrucomicrobia bacterium (freshwater metagenome) tRNA-Gly". It matches the Rfam family "tRNA". From Rfam's summary of the family: Transfer RNA (tRNA) molecules are approximately 80 nucleotides in length. Their secondary structure includes four short double-helical elements and three loops (D, anti-codon, and T loops). Lineage: Bacteria; Pseudomonadati; Verrucomicrobiota. The record is from RNAcentral.